This 305-nucleotide ribosomal RNA is filed under the name uncultured bacterium. Its description in RNAcentral is "bacterial SSU rRNA". It matches the Rfam family "Bacterial small subunit ribosomal RNA", at positions 337 to 640 of the family's 1533-position model. The record is from RNAcentral.
UCCUACGGGAGGCAGCAGUGAGGAAUAUUGGUCAAUGGACGAGAGUCUGAACCAGCCAAGUAGCGUGAAGGAUGACUGCCCUAUGGGUUGUAAACUUCUUUUAUAUGGGAAUAAAACAGGGUAUGCAUACCCUCUUGUAUGUACCAUAUGAAUAAGGAUCGGCUAACUCCGUGCCAGCAGCCGCGGUAAUACGGAGGAUCCGAGCGUUAUCCGGAUUUAUUGGGUUUAAAGGGAGCGUAGGCGGUCUGUUAAGUCAGCGGUCAAAGCCCGGGGCUCAACCCCGGCCCGCCGUUGAAACUGGAAGG